RNAcentral lists this ribosomal RNA (274 nucleotides) under uncultured bacterium. RNAcentral describes it as "partial 16S ribosomal RNA". It matches the Rfam family "Bacterial small subunit ribosomal RNA", at positions 523 to 796 of the family's 1533-position model. The record is from RNAcentral.
AUACGGAGGGGGCUAGCGUUGUUCGGAAUUACUGGGCGUAAAGCGCGCGUAGGCGGCCUGUCAAGUUGGAUGUGAAAGCCCGGGGCUCAACCCCGGAAUUGCAUUCAAAACUGGCAAGCUAGAGACCGAGAGAGGUGAGUGGAAUUUCCAGUGUAGAGGUGAAAUUCGUAGAUAUUGGAAAGAACACCAGUGGCGAAGGCGGCUCACUGGCUCGGUACUGACGCUGAGGUGCGAAAGCGUGGGGAGCAAACAGGAUUAGAUACCCCGGUAGUCC